Fukomys damarensis (Damara mole-rat) is the source of this 83-nucleotide small nuclear RNA. Its record names the gene U4. It matches the Rfam family "U4 spliceosomal RNA". Rfam says of the family: U4 small nuclear RNA (U4 snRNA) is a component of the major U2-dependent spliceosome. The structure of U4 snRNA from yeast and human has been reported. U4 snRNA presents a k-turn RNA motif in the 5p-SL related to recognition of Snu13 protein. The record is from Ensembl. NCBI's taxonomy places the organism in Eukaryota, Metazoa, Chordata, Mammalia, Rodentia, Bathyergidae.
GGCUUUGCGCAGUGGCAGUAUCGUAGCCAAUGAGGUUUAUCCGCGGCGUGAUUAUUUCUAAGUGAAAACUCUGUAGUACUCUA